RNAcentral lists this ribosomal RNA (396 nucleotides) under uncultured bacterium. RNAcentral describes it as "bacterial SSU rRNA". It matches the Rfam family "Bacterial small subunit ribosomal RNA", at positions 361 to 774 of the family's 1533-position model. The record is from RNAcentral.
AUAUUGGACAAUGGGGGAAACCCUGAUCCAGCAAUGCCGCGUGAGUGAAGAAGGCCUUAGGGUUGUAAAGCUCUUUCGCCCGCGAAGAUAAUGACGGUAGCGGGAGAAGAAGCCCCGGCUAACUCCGUGCCAGCAGCCGCGGUAAUACGGAGGGGGCUAGCGUUGUUCGGAAUUACUGGGCGUAAAGCGUACGUAGGCGGAUGCGCAAGUUGGGGGUGAAAUCCCGGGGCUUAACCUCGGAAUUGCCCUCAAAACUGCACGUCUUGAGACCGAGAGAGGUAAGGGGAAUUCCUCGUGUAGAGGUGAAAUUCGUAGAUAUUAGGAAGAACACCAGUGGCGAAGGCGCCUUACUGGCUCGGUACUGACGCUGAGGUACGAAAGCGUGGGGAGCAAACA